AUGCGGGCGGAGAGGGUGCGCCGAAGACCGAGCGAGCGCCAGAGGAGGAGAGAGCAGGACGCAGGGGCACGACGGGGAGGUCUCCCGCCCGGGAGCAAACCAGGACCAGCGCAACGCGGGCAAGCCCUUCUUGGGUUUGCUCUUCAUCUUCGUCGACCACUCCGUCGAGGAUGCAGGACUUGGCGAUUAUACUCAAAGAAUUGA
Molecule: ribosomal RNA, 204 nt
Filed under: Triticum aestivum (bread wheat)
Lineage: Eukaryota; Viridiplantae; Streptophyta; Magnoliopsida; Poales; Poaceae
Description: partial small subunit ribosomal RNA
Source: RNAcentral